UACAGAGGGGGCCAGCGUUAUUCGGUAUUAUUGGGCGUAAAGGGCGCGUAGGCGGCCUUGCGUGUCUUUCGUGAAGUCCCUCGGCUUAACUGAGGACGUGCGGAAGAAACUGCAGGGCUUGAGUCCGGGAGAGGGGGGUGGAAUUCCCAGUGUAGCGGUGAAAUGCGUGGAUAUUGGGAGGAGCACCGGUGGCGAAGGCGGCCCCCUGGACCGGUACUGACGCUGAGGCGCGAAAGCGUGGGUAGUAAACGGG
This 253-nucleotide ribosomal RNA is filed under the name uncultured bacterium. RNAcentral's name for it is "partial 16S ribosomal RNA". It matches the Rfam family "Bacterial small subunit ribosomal RNA", at positions 524 to 776 of the family's 1533-position model. The record is from RNAcentral.